Molecule: ribosomal RNA, 254 nt
Filed under: uncultured bacterium
Lineage: Bacteria
Description: partial 16S ribosomal RNA
Rfam family: Bacterial small subunit ribosomal RNA
Source: RNAcentral
GACGAACCGUGCGAACGUUAUUCGGAAUCAUUGGGCUUAAAGGGCGCGUAGGCGGCGGUGUAAGUUGGAAGUGAAAUCCCAUCGGCUCAACCGUGGAAUUGCUCCCAGUACUGCAUCGCUCGAGGGGGAUAGGGGUCUGCGGAACUACCGGUGGAGCGGUGAAAUGUGUUGAUAUCGGUGGAAACGCCAGUGGCGAAAGCGGCAGACUGGACCCUUCCUGACGCUGAGGCGCGAAAGCUAGGGGAGCAAACGGG